This 549-nucleotide ribosomal RNA is filed under the name uncultured bacterium. Its description in RNAcentral is "bacterial SSU rRNA". It matches the Rfam family "Bacterial small subunit ribosomal RNA", at positions 94 to 630 of the family's 1533-position model. The record is from RNAcentral.
AGCGGCGAAAGGGGGCGUAACACGUGGGCAAUCUACCAAGAAGUGGGGGAUAGCCCGGCGAAAGCCGAAUUAAUACCGCAUGUGAUGAGGGAAGACGUCUCUCCGAAAUCGAAGGUGGCGCAAGCUACCGCUUUUUGUGGGGCCCGCGGCCUAUCAGCUUGUUGGUGAGGUAACGGCUCACCAAGGCUAUGACGGGUAGCUGGUCUGAGAGGACGACCAGUCACACUGGGACUGAGACACGGCCCAGACACCUACGGGUGGCAGCAGUCGAGAAUUUUUGACAAUGGGGGAAACCCUGAUCGAGCGACGCCGCGUGGAGGAUGAAGGUCUUCGGGUUGUAAACUCCUGUCAUUUGGGAACAAGGCGUACGUAUUAACUGUGCGUGCGUUGAUAGUACCAGAAGAGGAAGAGACGGCUAACUCUGUGCCAGCAGCCGCGGUAAUACAGAGGUCUCAAGCGUUGUUCGGAUUCAUUGGGCGUAAAGGGUGUGUAGGUGGCGCGCUAAGUCGGGUGUGAAAUUUCGGAGCUUAACUCCGAAGCUGCAUUCGA